RNAcentral lists this long non-coding RNA (12532 nucleotides) under Homo sapiens (human). Its description in RNAcentral is "HSALNT0139169". The record is from RNAcentral. Lineage: Eukaryota; Metazoa; Chordata; Mammalia; Primates; Hominidae.
GUGGAGUCUCGCUCUGUUGCCCAGGCUGGAGUGCAGUGGUGCCAUCUCGGCUCACUGCAAUCUCCACCUCCCAGGGUUCACACCAUUCUCCUGUCUCAGCCUCCCGAGAAGCCGGGACUACAAGCACCUGCCACCACACCCGGUUAAUUUUUUGUAUUUUUAGUAGAGACAGGGUUUCACCAUGUUAGCCAGGAUGGCCUCGAUCUCCUGACCUCAUGAUCUGCCCACCUCAGCCUCCCAAAGUGUUGGGAUUACAGGCAUGAGCCACCGCGCCAGGUGGUUUUAUAAGGGAAUUUUCCCCCACUUUGCUCUGCACUUAUCCUUGCUGCUGCCAUGUGAAAAAGGAUGUGUUUGCUUCCCCUUCUGCCAUGAUUGUAAGUUUCCUGAGCCCUGUGUCCCAGCUGCUCCAGCGGUGACUAAAAGAGGCCAAGGUAUAGCUCAGGUCGUUGCUUCAGAGGGUGCAAGACCCAACUCUUGGGUUGGGUCUUGGCGUUGGUGUUGGUCCUGCAGAGGCACAUAAGACAAGAAUUGAGGUUUGGGAACUUUCGCUUAGAUUUCAGAGGAUGCAUGGAAAUGCCUGGAUGUCCAGGGAGAAGUUUGGUGCAGGGGUGGAGUCCUCCUGGAGAACCCCUGCUAGGUCAGUGCAGAAGGGAAAUGUGAGGUGGGAGCCACCACACAGAGUCCCCACUUGGGCACUGCCUAGUGUGGCUGUAAGAAAAGGGUCACCAUUCUCCAGAACCCAGAAUGGUAGAUCCACAGACAGCUUGCACCAUGCACCUGGAAAAGCCACAGACACUCAAUGCCAGCCAUGAAAAAACCCAAGAGUGGGGCUGUACCCUGCAAAGCCACAGGGGCAGAGCUGCCCAAGAUUGUGGGAGCCCAUCUCUUGCAUCAGUCUAACCUGGAUGUGAGACAGGGAGUCAAAGGAGAUCAUUUUGGAACUUUGCAGUUUAAUGACUGCCCCGUUGAAUUUCAGACUGGCAUAGGUCCUGAACCCCCUUUGUUUUGGUCAGUUUCUCCCAUUUGGAAUGGGUGUAUUUUCUCAAUGCCUGUCCCCAUUAUAUAGCUAAAUUGCUUUUGAUUUUACAGGCUCCUAGGGACCUGAGAAAAGGCACUUGUCUUGUCUCAGAUGUGACUUUGGACUUGGACUUUUGAGUUCAUGCUAGAAUGAGUUAAUACCUGGGAGGACUGUUGGAGGGACAUGAUUGUGUUUUGAAUUUUGAGGACAUGAGUUUUGUGAGGGGCUAGGGUGGAAUGAUAUGGUUUGGCUAUGUUGCCAGCCAAAUCUCAUCUUGAACUGUAGUUCCCAUAAUCCUCAGGUGUUAUAGGAGGAACCUGGUGGGAGGUAAGUGGAUCAUGGGGGCGGUUACCUCCAUGCUGUUCUCAUAAUAGUGGGUGAGUUCUCAUGAGAUAUGAUGGAUUUUUAAGGUGCUUUUCUCCAACUUCGCUCUGCACUUUUCCUUGCUGUCGCAAUGUAAGGAAGGAUGUGUUUGCUUCCCCUUCUGCCAUGAUUGCAAGUUUCCUGAGGUCUCCCCAGUCAUGCUAAACUGUGAGUCAAUUAAACUUCUUUCCUUUAUAAAUUACUCAGAUUUGGGUAUGUACUUAUUAGCAACGUGAGAAUGGACUAAUACAGGUUUUAGCUAUAGGAUGUGGGAGACAUCAUAAAGAAUUUCUUACAUUUAAAAAAUCUUAUUUCCCGCCAUGUGUAGUAGCGACCCAGCAUCCCCUUAAUAAUCAGAAUCUAUUAUCCCAGACAAUAGAUUAACUUCCUCUUUGUAUAUUGAUUAGGAAGGACAAGGAACCCAAAAUGGGUAGGUAGUAGCCUCAACAUCCAUUUUGCUGCAAUCAUUGUUCUGUCUCCUGGUGGAAGUAUUUCUCCUUUUGGAACAAAGAUCUGUAGACCAUCAUAGGCUACAGUUGAGGAGACAUAAUGCAAAAAUAUAUCUGAGAGAUCAUUAAGGGUAAUAAUGCAUAGAGUUACUCCCAUUUCCACUCCUUAAUUCCUGGACAAAUAAACCCUGGCUGUAGGGAAAACAGCACCAUAUAAUGGAUGGUGAUGUAGAGCAUUAACACAUCCUAGAGGAAAGUGCUCCUAUCCUGACUCCUGCUAGGUAUUUCCAUUUAGCUGAAAGUGUAACUGAGUCUUCAAAAGACUGUCCAACAUUCUAUAAAGUCAGCUACUUCAAGACAAUUUGUAACAGGCUAGUGGAUUCCAUGAGCAUGAGAUCAUUGCCACAUUUAAUCACUACAAAGUAAGUUCCUUGACCAGAGCUGUGUAUAAUACUGUGAUGGUGGAUAAGAUAUUCUCUAAGUCGACAGGUGCUAAUUUUGGCAGAAAUAUUGUAUGCAAGGAAAGCAAGUCCAUGUUCAGAAGAAGUGUCUACUCUAGUAAGAACAAUGUAUCUUCUAUGAUGAAAGCAGUUCUCUGUAAUCAAGCAACCAUCAGGUAGUUGGCUGUUAUCUUGGGGCAUGGUUCUAUUAUGAGGACUCAGUGUUGGUCUUUGCUGCUGGCAGAGUAUAGACUUAGGUCAGGAAAGCCCCAGUGAGUAUAAUUUCAUGUUUCUGAGCCCAUGCAUCAUCUCCAUUCCUGACAUCAUAGCCAAUUUGUUCAGAGCUCGUUAGUGGCUGGAGUGUCUGAAGAAAGAGAUGACUGGCAUCCAGACAUUUUUUCCUAUCCACUUGAUUAUUAAAAUCAUUCUCUGUUGACGUAAUCCUUUGUUGAAGAUUCAUAAGAGAUGCCAACAUGUUCACCCACUUUAUUCAUUUUGUGAGAUCUAUAUACAUACUGCUUUCCAAGACUUCUUUGUCACCAAUUUUUCCAAUUAUGUUUCUUCCAAGUUCCUAACCAUCCAUCCAAACCAUUAGCCUCACCCCAUUGAAUAAUACAGAGUCAUAUAUCUGACCAUUUCUCCUUCAAUGGAAAGUGAACAAUGAGGUGAACUGCUCUAAGUUCUGCCCACUGAAAGAACUUUUCCUCACCACUGUCCUUCAAAAAUGUCCCAGAAAAGAGCUAGAGUGAUGGAGUUUUCUACUUUUGGCUGGUGCUGCAUGUUGUGCAGAACUAUCUGUAAACCAGGUCUGAGUUUUCACUUUCUCAGUUAACUGAUAAGAAACUCCCAAUGAGGCCAUUGGUGUGGGCUGAGAUUGAGAAGAUAAUGUAGCAGGAGUAGGGCCGUGGGCAUUUGUGUUACUUCCUUAUGUAACUUACCAUUGCCCGGAAAGCCACCUCAAGCCUCACAUAUACCACUUCCAUUGACUGGCACAGUGCUGCUGUGCAUGCCUAACUUCCAUGCUUAGUAGAUUAGACAGCAACCAGUUCAUGAUAGAUAGCUCAGAUCACAUUAUAACUUGGUGGUCCAUGAUAAUAUAUUCGGUCCCUAUUAAGACCUGGGACCAAGCCAAAAACUGUUUCUCAAAAAUAGUAUACACCUCUCCUCAAAUAAUGUCAUUUUGUUAUAAUGUUGAUAAGAAAAAAAAAUCAAUUCCCUUUCAGGCUACUGUCUGUGUGGAGUUUGCACAGUCUCCCCAUGUCUGUGUGGGUUUUCUUCAGGGACUCCUGUCUUCUCUCACUUCCCAAAGUUGUGCAUGUUAGGUGAAGUGGAGUGUUUAAAUCAUCCCCACUGGAGUGAGUGUGGGUGUGUGUGAGUGCACUCUGUGAUGGAUGGGGUCCUGCCCGGGUUGCACCCUGAGCUGCUGAGAUAGGCUCCAGCCACUUGUGACCCUGAACUGGAAUAAUUGGGUAAACAAUUAUCUUACUUGUUUUCAUUAACCUUUCUUAAAUAUGUGUAUAGCCCAUAUUUAUUUUAAUAUUUAAUAUUAGAAGCGUUUUCAUCUUUAUUUAAAAGUUGGGUGAUGUUUCUGUGACCAGAAACAUGCGUAUUGCUUGAAGGUGCAGUUUUUGAGAAUCUAUAGAUCAGGUCAAGUGAGGACUUACUGUACAUAUCUGCAGAAAAUAGCAGAGUUUUACUCUAAAAUCCUGAGUCUGUGUUAUGAUUCACUUAUAAGAGGCUUCCAAAGACUCCAAAAAGCAUCUCUCUCUGACACUGACAUUUUAAAUGUCAUCAGAUCUUCCGGAUCAUGGCUUGCUGGUGACACAUGGCCCAAAUGUCAGAACAGCUUGCACAGCAGGCUAGACCUGAUGCAGAGCCCUUUCUUGAUCUUGCUUCUACUCAAAACUAGUAGCUUUUCAGGUCUUUCAGUAAAUGGGCUGGAGUAGUACACACAAAAAGAACAAUGUGCUGCCUUGAAAAUCUAAAGAGGCCUCCUAUGCAUUGUGCUUCUUUUUUGGCUGUAGGAGGACCAAUCAGAUACAAAAAUCUUAUUUUUCACCUGAGAAGGAAUACUUUGACCUUCCUUUCACCAUUAGACCCUGGGAAUUAGUUGAUACGGAAGGCCUCUCAAUUUUUGCGAAAUAUAUUUCCCACCCUCUGAAACACAAGUGUCCAGAGCAGUUGCUACUUUCUGGUUACCAGGUCCAAUCAGCAUAAUGUCAUCAAUGCAAUGGAACGGACUGAUUUUCUGCAGAAAGGGAAAUCAAUCAAGGUCCCAGUGGACUAAAUGAUGAUAUAAGGCUGAAGAAUGGACGCAUCCUAUGAAGUCUCGCUCUGUCACCCAGGCUGUAGUGUAGUGGGGUGACCUUGGCUUACUGCAACCUCCACCUCCUAGGUUCCAGCGAUUCUCCCACCUCAGCCUCCUGAGUACCUGAGAUUAUAGGCACCUGCCACCAUGCCCAGCUAAUUUUUGUAUUUUUAGUAGAGACUGUGUUUCACCAUAUUGGCCAGGCUGGUCUUGAACUCCUGACCUCAAGCGAUCUGCCCACCUUGGCCUCCCAAAGUGCUGGGAUUACAGGCAUGAGCCACAGUGCCUGGCCUACGUAUUUCUUUUUAAAGACUGACUUUUCAUUUAGAUUAAAUGAUUGCUCUUCUAAAGUAAUUUACUCUUUGUUGGUUUUAAGAAAUCUUUUGCAUGUAUAAGGUAUAAAACAACAACUGUUUAUAUGUUACUUCCAUUAGCCGAUGAACUAGCGGUUAAAUGAUGCUUCAAAUAGAAAAUAAGUUAAUUCCACUAAUAGAUUGUGUUUUCAUUAAAGUCAUAAACAUGAAAUAACACUUUACAAAGUUCAUUUUGUUGAGUAUCUUGCAUUACUGUGAAUUAUAUUGUAAAGUAGUUUAAAGUUUAACAUUAAAGAUAAAAUUAUUAUUUUUGCUGUUAUGGUAUGAAUAAAAAAAUUUGAUUAACUUUUUUAUCAUGUUUCAGUAAACAAAGCAUGCAGAAUGGAAACAAUAAUCUUACUAAGUUAAAAAACUUUUUUGAACUUUUCUGAAUAGAAAUGUUCUUGGAAUUCGUCGUGCACAUGAUUGUUCAUAAUUACUAAUUACAAAUAUUACUAAUUAUUAUUUCUAUUAUAUAUAAUAUGUAUAAUAUUAUUAAUUAUUCAUAAUUACUAAUUGAAAUAGAGACGCUAGUUGUUGGGGUAACAAAAGUAGUGCAUUUUUGAGAUGAAGCUGGCUUUCAGUACAAACAUAUUCUAAAUUAUGCUGGUGGCUAUGCAGUUUUUCUCUGUGCUGGUCAUCAACAAUUAGAUUUAGAUGUGUUUGAGCACUUGAAGAAGUACUAUGAAACUGAACUUAAAUAAAAGUAUUUAGCAAUUGUGAUGCCAAAAAGCUUUAGCUUGUGAAGCUUUAUCAAUUUCCAAUUCUUAAAAGCAAAGGUUGUAAAGAGGAGGACAUUGAAACUGAUCCUUGUAGAAAUGGAGCCAAUUAAAUAAUAAAGGCACAAACUAUGUAAAACAUUUAAUUUUUAAAUUAUAUUAUUGGACUCCAGAAUAUUUAAACUUGUGAGAUGUAGUCUGAUAAAUCUCCUAUUUUUAAUUGGAUAAACUUGCAAUAUAUACCAAAAAGGAUAAAAUUUACAAAAAAAAAAUUUGCAUGAUCUCCAUAGUCAUAAAUUGAGACAUCUGCAAUGACUUUUGUCUGAUAAAAAAAUCUACCAAAGACAAGUACUCUGAAUGGAAGCAAAAACAAGAGCUCUUUUAAGAUAUUUGAACUAAAUUGGACCCUUAUCUUGCACUAUGGAUAAAAAUCAUCUAAAAAUGGACAAAAUACCUAAGUGUAAGACCUGAAGCCAUAGAACUCAUGGAACAUAGGGGAAAAACUCCACAACAUUGGUCUUGGCAAUAAUUUUUUUGGGAUGCCAUACCAAAAGCUCAGGCUACAAAAGAAAAAAUAAAUCACAUCACACACUGGGCCCUGUCAUGGGGUUGGGGGAGGGGUAGGGAUAGCAUUAGGAGAUAUACCUAAUGUAAAUGACGAGUUAAUGGGUGCAGCACACCAACAUGGCACAUGUAUACAUAUGUAACAAACCUGCACAUUGUGCACAUGUACCCUAGAACUUAAAGUAUAAUAAAAAAAAGAAAAAAUAAACCAAUGGGAAUACAUCACACUAAAAACCUUCUACACAGCAAAGAAAACAAUUUAAAAAUGAAAAUGCAGGCUACAGACUGGAAGAAAAUUUUUGCAAAUCAUACAUCUGAUAAUGGCUAAUAUCCAAAAUUUAUUUUAAAAACCCACAUAAUUCAAUAGCAGAAAAACAACCCAAUUAAAACAUGGACAAAUGAUAUGAGCAGACCUUCAAAGAAAACAUAAAAAUGGACACUAGGUAUAUGAAAAGGAGCUCAACAUCACUAAUCAUAAUGGAAAUGCAAAUUAAAACCACUAUGAGAUAUCACCUUACACCAGUAAGGAAGGCUAUUAUCAAAUGGAUAAGAUGAAAAUGUUGGCAAAGGUGUGAAGAAAAGGUAACCGCAGUGCACUGUUGAUGGGAAUAUAGACUGAUCUAGCCAUUAUGGGAAGAAAUAUGUAGGGUCUUAGAGAUACUAAAAAUAUAACUGCCAUAUGACUCAGAAAUCCUUCUUCUGAAUAUAUACCAAUAUACCAAAAGGAGAUUAUCACCACCUUGUAAAGAUUGGCAUUCCCAUGUUCAUUGCAGCAUUAUUUGCAGCAGUCAAGAUAUGGAAAGAACCUAAAUGCCCAUUGAUGGAGGUAUAAAGAAAAUGUGGUAUAUAUACACAAUGAAAUAUUACACAGCCUUAAAAAGGAGAUCCUACCAUUUGUCAAAACAUGCAUGAACCAGGAGGACCCUAUGCUAAGUGAAAUAAGCAACACAGAGAAAAAAAUAUUGCAUGAUUUCAAUUAUAUAUUAAAUAUAAAAUAAUAAAAGAGCUCAAAUACACAGAGAUAAAGAAGGAAACAGUGGUUACCAUUGGUGGGAGAGGGAGAGAGGAAAUGAGGAAGAUGUAGGUCAAAAGAUGUACAAUAGCAGAUAGGUAGGAUGAACAAAUCUAAAGAUCUAAUGUACAACAUGAAGACUAAAUAAAAUUGAAUUGUGUUAAGGAUAUUUGUUAAGUAGAUUUUAUCUGCUGUUGUCACAUCAAAAAACAAGUUAUGUGAGAUGAUAGAUAUACUAAUCUGCUUCACUCUAGAACCAUUAUAUUUCCUACGAUGUAUCUAUAUGUACUCCAUAACAUUAUGUUGUAAACCUCAAAUAUAUACAAUAAAAUACAUUUAAAAAAAAAAAUAGGCCAGGCGCGGUGGCUCAUGCCUGUAAUCCCAGCACUUUGGGAGGCCGAGGCGGGCGGAUCACGAGGCCAGGAGAUCGAGACCACGGUUAAACCCUGUCUCAACUCAAAAAAAAAAAAAUACAAAAAAUUAGCCGGGCGCAUUGGCGGCGCCUGUAGUCCCAGCUACUCGGGAGGCUGAGACAGGAGAAUGGCGUGAACCCAGGAGGCGACACUUUCAGUGAGCUGAGAUCGCACCACUGCACUCCAGCCUGGGUGACAGAGCGAGACACUGCCUCAAAAAAAAAAAAAAAAAAAAAAAAAAAAAAAACAACAACAACAGUGGGACUAAAAUAUGUAUACAUUUUAAUAUUAAAAGAAAAAGCUGUGAUACAUAAUGAUUAUACAUAUGUAUGGGGAACAUUGUUCGUUUCAAUACAUGGAGAGAUUGUGUAAUCAUCAAAUCAGAGUCAUUAGAAUUUCAUCACCUCAAAUAUUUAUCAGUUUUUUGUGGUGAGGACAUGCAAAUUAUUUUCCUCUAGCUUUUUUUGAAAUAUACAAUAUAUUUCCAUUAUCUGAGAAUAUGCUGUAUUUAGCAAAAAAUAAUUUGCGAUUACUAGGUACUUCAGUGCAUGUAGAGAGGGUAUUUUCUCAGUUAAAAGUAAUGUAUUCUAUGGAGACCAGUCAAUUGAAGGUUUCAACAAUUUCAAAUUUAUUAGCAUAAAGCACAGCUUUGAAAACAAAUGCAGGCAAUUUUAUGAAAAAAUGGAAAACAAUAAAACUGUAUUUCAAAAAUACAUUGUCCACAAAUAGAAUAAUAAUGACCAAUAUUACUUGUACAACUAAGAUGGUGUUUAAAUUAAAUGAAUAUAUAACAUAAAUAAUCAUACUACUUGUUAUUUAAUGUGCUGAUAAUCAAUACAAAUAUUCUUUUGCUUUUAUGAAUAGAAAUAGAUAUUGCUUUCUUAAAGAAACAUUUUAUUUCAAAAAUAUUUUAUAACACUUCCAUAGGCCCAAACCCCACUUGUUAGUAAAUACUUAUUUUAAACUUGUAUAAGAUUAUAGUUAUUUUAAUACUCUUUUUAAUCUCAAAAUAGACUUGUUUGGCCAAUAAAGUAUAUGAACCCCUUUAUUACAGAAAAAUAAGCAGACAGUCAUACUACAGCAUGAUUUUAGAGUAGGGAAAAUACAGGAUUCUUUUGCAAAAGAAUAAAAAGCUGUCUAAUCUACUCCCUGGUGGAGAGGGUGUCAUGGAAUAUUUAUUAGAGGAAGUUGAUGACAUUUAUACCUAAAAGAUAGGAUAAGUUAUCCAACUGAGGAAACAGAGAAGACUGUUUCAGGGAGGGUGAACAGCAAAAAAAACUAGCUCAGGGGUAAAGUUAGGCCCUCCCCAUGAAAUAAGCAGGGUCUUUGGAGUUGCAUAAAAUAAUUUGGAAUUAAACCAAAGAUAAGGGGGAAAUCAAUACAGUGCUUAAAUAAAGUAGUGUCCUGAGAAGGAUUUUCUGAAGGGCAUUUAGAAGAUUGAUUCUAAAACACACAUAAGUUUCUUAAUUCUUUUAUUCUGACCUGAUGGAUUUUCUAGUCCAGCCAGUUGUACCCCUGACCUUGUGCUCUCUUUUUCUGGUAUGGCUUUCCUAGGCUCAAAAAUCCCAAAGUGCUACCCUCUAAAAUUAUGGAUAAAAGGCUCUAUUAAUAUUUAUGUCUCCUUGUGGCAGGCCACAGAUAUGAAUUAAUUACUGCAUCUGCACAGAUGUGGCCUGAUUACGCAAGGCGGAACUAAGCUAAACAGCCAGCAUGAUAAACCCAAGACUGGCAAGGUAGCAGGAGAAUUUUGAGAUAUAUUCAAGUUGAAUGCUUUUAUCGGUUCUAAGUUGUUAGUUCUUGGAGGAGAGUAUUGUUCCCUAACAAAGCCUAACACAGUGUGCAGUACACAACAAGUACUCACUAAAUAUUUGUGAGAUGAAUAAAACCAAGAAUCUUGAAUAUGUUUUAGGCCUAUCACUAUAAAAAAAUUUUAAUGUCUUAUUGUAAUUGUUCUAUUUUGUUUUGACAGGUGAUGAAAAUAAUGCUUCCCUUAGUUGAAAUUCUUAGGAAAAUGGCUCCAUAAAUAUGUAUGUAGGAUGCUAUUACUCACUCAUUAUUGACAGUUGUAUCAAGUGUGAUAUAAAACACAAUUUUCAGUGACAAUGGAAUAAUUACAGUCUUGUAGUCUUGGAAUAGCCCCUGAUCACUACUGUUGCUGAUUCUGUCAUUAUAUUUUGUGUCACCUGGUUCCCAGUGGACUGUCAACACUCUUUACAUCCUGGAAUCUGAAAUCAAUUUUGUUGAGUUAACAAAGCUACAUCAUUACAUGUAUCAACUGGGGGAUCUCAGAUAAAUUCAUAUGGGUCUGAUUAUCCUUAAAUAAACCAUAUAAACAGUAGAUUGUUAUAACUGACAAGGGAUCGUGUUCUGUCUAGUCAGAGAACUUAAGUUAGGGAGGCAUGCUGUACAAAGUAUAAAAAUGUUUCAAAGGAUAGAAUUGUUAAAUUUCUGUUGUUUUAAGCCACCCAUUGUGUAGUACUCUGUUAUAGUAGCCCAAGAAAACCAAUACACUGUAUAAUGGAACAUUAUUUAGCCAUAAAAAAUGAAUUAAGGGCUGAUACAUGCUACAAUGCAGACAGACUUUAAGAAAACAUAAUGUUAAGUACAAGAAACCAGACACACAAGACUAUUUAUUAUGUGGUUCCACUUAUAUGAGACGUCUAAAACAGAAAAAUCUAUAGAGAUAAGCAAAUUAGCACAUGUCAAGGGCUGGGGUGAAAUGUAGAGUGACUACUAAUGAGUACACAAUUUUUUUUGAGAUGAUGAAAAUGUUCUAAAAUUGUCGUGAUAGUUGCAUAACUCUGUCAUUAUACCAAAAAAAUCAUUGAAUUGUAUAAUUUAAAAAGUAUGUGAAUUAUAUCUCAAUAAAAUAUUUUAAAAACAGAAUUAUUUAACAUAGUUGUGGUUGUAUUAGUGAACAACAAGCUAUCAUUGAAAGUCAGCUUCAUGAAAUUUCCUAAGUGAUAUUUUGAAAUACUAGGUUAUUCACCCAUACAUUUCCUUAAAUCAAAGGAAAUCCCUGCACCUGGAGUAAGACCACCCAACUACCAGCAGGAAAAGAGUAUUCAAAGACUCACUUGGAGUAAUAAUUAUCUAGUAGGAGUCAGGUGGGACUCCUAGAAAUUUGUAUGUGCUCCUUGGAGACCGUCCAACCCUCUCUGUUGCAAUAUUCACAACCCUAUCCCCAUUACCUGAUUUGGGACCAUCUGUUCUUAAACACUUCUGUGAAUCUUUCUUUCAUUGUAUAACAUUAAUUGAAAUGAACUUUUUCCUUGAGGACACUGUUUCCCAUGUAGACCUUUCAAGCAGUGGAUUUUUUUUACUUCCACAUACCACAACACAGAAAAAAAGGUUUACUUUUCAUGUAUUUCUUUUCUUUUAAGACCUACUCUAAGUAGUAGAAUUUUUUAUCAGUGAGAUUUAUUUGCCUUGCUUAUGGAGACUCACUUUGACUAACAUUAGAUACUUAAUUUUUUAUGUGGAUUAGUACACAAUUAUAUUCAAUUUUCUCAAAGAGUACACAUUCUCUCAAAGCAGCGUAUUAAAACCAAAAUGUUUUAUGUGACCCUAAGUUCUCUUUUCCCCAAGGUGACAUAAUAACAAUAUUUCUUAGAAAUUUCUUCAUGCACAGGGAGACAGCUGAUCUUUUAUCAUGUCUCAAGGACAUAUCAUCAUAAAUGGAUGGCAUUCUAAUAAAUGGAAAUUAAAUGGUGCGAUAGAUUGUUCUGGUACUGAGAAGGAAGGUCUGGGCUAGUUAAUUAGACUUAACAGUCAUUUAGACAAAAGAUAAAAAGAUGAUGGAACUUCACUGGAGUGAGGUUACUUGCUUUCCUUCAGCCUACACUCUCAGUUCUGCUAAUGACCUAUUUGUUUCUCAAACCUAGUCUACCCUGGCCAUAUCGACCCCAAAGAGAAACUAGAUAACUUAUGCCAACUUGAGGCAAUAACUGGGAGAUUAGAGAGAUAACCAGCAAUUGGUACCUUCUUUUCUUUUUCCUUCUUUCUUUAUCUUCCUCCCCUCAAAUAGUCCAGAAGUUAAUAUGGCUCAUUUUUUUCCUUUGCUCCGUGUGAAUGGAUUAGUAACGAUUGCUUUGAAAUAACCUAAAACAAUGCCCUACAGAUACAUUAGCCGCCAUUUCCUGUGCAGAAUUCUUCAUUAGCUCUGCUCAAACCUUAUACUUUGAUGACCUCUGCCUCCUUCUACAUUUUUCUCUCAUGAUUAUUGCACCAAAAUUCCAUUUUGUUAUCAAAUCUAGGACCUUAGGGGGAGUCAUGAAGCAUGCUGUCUCCCUUGCCCAUUCUCUCUUACAUAGCCCAACAAAUCCACCCAUUAGAACAAUUACCUUUUUACUUCCUGAAUUUGUCCCCAACCACUUAUCUUGUCUAUUACCACUGUCUCAGCUUCAUGCAGGAUCUAAUUUUUUUCAGAACUAUUGUAAUAUUCUUCUAAUUGGGCUCUCUGCUUAGUCUUGCUUUUAACUAAUACAUCGAAUGGCUGUCAAUGUGAUCUUAAGUAACAUAUAUCAAUCACUAUGUUACUCCCUUUGUAAACUCCUUCAGUGAAUUUCAUAUUUUUUUAAAAAAAAUCUAAGUCUCCUGGAAUAACACAUAAACCUGAACUUAUAUGAAUAAUUCUUUUUCAGAGUUUGCCAAAAGAAAAUGAAAAAGUCAAGUAAAACAGUUUAAUUAAAAAUAAUCACCUUUCUCACUUCUUAAAAAAUUCAGACCUUAUCUCGUCAUUUGGUCUCAUAGCUUUUGUUUUUCCCUUUUUAAAAAUUGCUCUCUCUCCAUCUCAGUCUACAGUAGGAUCUUGAUGCAUAAGAGCUUUUAUAUUUCCACACAUUUAAAUGUUAUUAUUUCUACUCCAUGGAAUGCCCUUUCCUUUCAUGACGC